GACGAACGCUGGCGGCGUGCUUAACACAUGCAAGUCGAGCGGUAAGGCCUUUCGGGGUACACGAGCGGCGAACGGGUGAGUAACACGUGGGUGACCUGCCCUCAGCUCUGGGAUAAGCCCGGGAAACUGGGUCUAAUACCGGAUAUGACCUUCUGUCGCAUGACGGUUGGUGGAAAGUUCUUCGGCUGGGGAUGGGCCCGCGGCCUAUCAGCUUGUUGGUGGGGUGAUGGCCUACCAAGGCGGNGACGGGUAGCCGGCCUGAGAGGGCGACCGGCCACACUGGGACUGAGACACGGCCCA
RNAcentral lists this ribosomal RNA (300 nucleotides) under uncultured bacterium. RNAcentral's name for it is "bacterial SSU rRNA". It matches the Rfam family "Bacterial small subunit ribosomal RNA", at positions 28 to 333 of the family's 1533-position model. The record is from RNAcentral.